UAUUUUGGGUAAUCGCUAUAAAUAUAUUUUAUAGAGGAAAGUCCAUGCUCACACAGUCUGAGAUGAUUGUAGUGUUCGUGCUUGAUGAAACAAUAAGUCAAGGCAAUUGUUUUCAAUUGACGGCAACGCAAUAACCUAAGUCGAUAGAUAAGGUUAUUAUAGUUUGAAAGUGCCACAGUGACGUAGCUUUGAUAGAAAUAUCAAAGGUGGAACGCGGUAAACCCCUCGAGUGAGCAAUCCAAAUUAGGUAGGAGCACUUAUCUAACGGAAAUCAACGUAUAGAUGAGGAAAUAUCUGAAUAGAUAUUUCAGACAGAUGAUUACUGCCGGCGUACAAGUGGAGCUAGUACACGUUUGAAGUACUAAGGUACAGAACAUGGCUUAUAGAA
RNAcentral lists this RNase P RNA (388 nucleotides) under Staphylococcus xeri. RNAcentral's name for it is "Staphylococcus sp. 17KM0847 RNase P RNA component class B". It matches the Rfam family "Bacterial RNase P class B". Rfam says of the family: Ribonuclease P (RNase P) is a ubiquitous endoribonuclease, found in archaea, bacteria and eukarya as well as chloroplasts and mitochondria. Its best characterised activity is the generation of mature 5'-ends of tRNAs by cleaving the 5'-leader elements of precursor-tRNAs. Lineage: Bacteria; Bacillati; Bacillota; Bacilli; Caryophanales; Staphylococcaceae. The record is from RNAcentral.